AGAGAAUAGGCCCAAGCGACUGUUUACCAAAAACAUAGGUUUCUGCUAAGUCGCAAGACGAUGUAUAGGAGCUGACGCCUGCCCGGUGCUGGAAGGUUAAGGGGAUCUGUUAGAGCAAUCGAAGCAGUGAACUUAAGCCCCAGUAAACGGCGGCCGUAACUAUAACGGUCCUAAGGUAGCGAAAUUCCUUGUCGGGUAAGUUCCGACCCGCACGAAAGGCGUAACGAUUUGGGCACUGUCUCA
Molecule: ribosomal RNA, 243 nt
Filed under: Clostridioides difficile
Lineage: Bacteria; Bacillati; Bacillota; Clostridia; Peptostreptococcales; Peptostreptococcaceae
Description: partial 23S ribosomal RNA
Rfam family: Bacterial large subunit ribosomal RNA
Source: RNAcentral